RNAcentral lists this ribosomal RNA (884 nucleotides) under Pseudocercospora airliensis. Its description in RNAcentral is "eukaryotic LSU rRNA". It matches the Rfam family "Eukaryotic large subunit ribosomal RNA", at positions 46 to 962 of the family's 3401-position model. Lineage: Eukaryota; Fungi; Ascomycota; Dothideomycetes; Mycosphaerellales; Mycosphaerellaceae. The record is from RNAcentral.
AUAAGCGGAGGAAAAGAAACCAACAGGGAUUGCCCUAGUAACGGCGAGUGAAGCGGCAACAGCUCAAAUUUGAAAUCUGGCGUAAGCCCGAGUUGUAAUUUGUAGAGGAUGCUUCUGGGUAGCGGCCGGUCUAAGUUCCUUGGAACAGGACGUCAUAGAGGGUGAGAAUCCCGUAUGUGACUGGCUUGCACCCUCCACGUAGCUCCUUCGACGAGUCGAGUUGUUUGGGAAUGCAGCUCUAAAUGGGAGGUAAAUUUCUUCUAAAGCUAAAUACCGGCCAGAGACCGAUAGCGCACAAGUAGAGUGAUCGAAAGAUGAAAAGCACUUUGGAAAGAGAGUUAAAAAGCACGUGAAAUUGUUGAAAGGGAAGCGCCCGCAACCAGACUUUGCGGCGGUGUUCGGCUGGUCUUCUGACCGGUUUACUCGCCGCCGUGAGGCCAUCAUCGUCUGGGACCGCUGGAUAAGACCUGAGGAAUGUAGCUCCCUUCGGGGUGUGUUAUAGCCUCUGGUGAUGCAGCGCGUCUCGGGCGAGGUCCGCGCUUCGGCAAGGAUGAUGGCGUAAUGGUUGUCGGCGGCCCGUCUUGAAACACGGACCAAGGAGUCUAACAUCUAUGCGAGUGUUCGGGUGUCAAACCCCUACGCGUAAUGAAAGUGAACGGAGGUGGGAACUUUUUGUGCACCAUCGACCGAUCCUGAUGUCCUCGGAUGGAUUUGAGUAAGAGCAUAGCUGUUGGGACCCGAAAGAUGGUGAACUAUGCCUGAAUAGGGUGAAGCCAGAGGAAACUCUGGUGGAGGCUCGCAGCGGUUCUGACGUGCAAAUCGAUCGUCAAAUUUGGGUAUAGGGGCGAAAGACUAAUCGAACCAUCUAGUAGCUGGUUCCUGCG